This 211-nucleotide unclassified non-coding RNA is filed under the name Hevea brasiliensis (rubber tree). Lineage: Eukaryota; Viridiplantae; Streptophyta; Magnoliopsida; Malpighiales; Euphorbiaceae. The record is from RNAcentral.
AGGAUUUGGUUCAAUUGGAAGAAACAUUUUGUUGUUUUGGAUUUUGAAGCUUUGUGAUGUUUUUAUGCUUUACUAAGAGGAGGGAAAGUCUGCUUGAGACGUAAAUGUUACAAUUAUCUUGAAAAUAAUCAAACAUUUUGGUUAAUAAUGUGGAAAGUCAACAGGUAUCUCUUCCUUUUUUUGCUAAUGGCACAGUCAGGUUUGGAGUCUU